GUGUUCACUUUGGCAGCACACACACCAAAAAUUGGAGUGAUACAGAGAAGAUUAGCAUGGCCCCUGGGCAAAAAUGACAUGCAAAUCAUAAGCAUUCCAUAUUUUA
This is a small nuclear RNA of Neogale vison (American mink), 106 nucleotides long. The record is from Ensembl. NCBI's taxonomy places the organism in Eukaryota, Metazoa, Chordata, Mammalia, Carnivora, Mustelidae.